Molecule: ribosomal RNA, 276 nt
Filed under: Triticum aestivum (bread wheat)
Lineage: Eukaryota; Viridiplantae; Streptophyta; Magnoliopsida; Poales; Poaceae
Description: partial small subunit ribosomal RNA
Source: RNAcentral
GGCUACAAUCGUCUCAUUAUCAAUUCAGAUAAUAUGGAAGUCAUUGACACAAUGAAGAACGGUGGAGAGUCUGCGGGAGCAGCGGCGGCAAUGAUUUUUUUUAUGGCCUAUGAUUUUCCACAAACCAGUUUUGAACAUUGUAAUAGAGAAGCGAACAAAGUAGCUCAUGAGCUUGCUAGAUUAGCAAAAUGUUCCACGACUAGGGAUUGGAUAGAGGAGCCCAUGGAAACUCUUGUAACUCUUCUGAUAGACGAUGUAACCAUUAUCUCUAAUUAA